RNAcentral lists this long non-coding RNA (601 nucleotides) under Capsicum annuum. Its description in RNAcentral is "long non-coding RNA (CANN_LNC007752)". The record is from RNAcentral. Lineage: Eukaryota; Viridiplantae; Streptophyta; Magnoliopsida; Solanales; Solanaceae.
UUCACCACCAUCAUUCAUAGACACACAUUCACUCACCUCAUAGCAACACAAACACAAGAUUCACGCACACACACAGCCGUGAGAAAUCAGUGAGAGAGAAAAGGAGGGAGAUAUAUGAGAAAUCACUGAAGAAAAGAAAUGGACUCCAUUUUUUGAUCUCUUCUUGGCGAUACAUGCACAAAUACCAUAGAUCCUUACCAAGGCACACACACGCAGAAAGAAUCACAAAGAAAAUCAGAGAGGGAGGUCGAUUCUUGAGUUUUCCAGCAAGAUUCUCGCCGGAAUCAGCGCCGACUAUUUGAAUUAAUCUACCCCAUUCCAAAAACCCAACAUAUCUUGUUAUUUCUUUCUAAUUUUUAAGCGAGACCACUGAAAACAAGUAAAUAGCAGUAGAGCCAUCAGCAUCUUCUUCCAAAUAGAUCCUAAAAUAAUUUAACGUUAGUACUGUAUUUGGAUUUGGAUUUUGUUUAUCUCGGUGGGUUUGUCGUAGUCUAUUACAGGUCUCUGUUUCUCGAUACCAAGUAGAGUUUGUUCACUAUCCUUCAUGGGUUCUCUUUUCGAAUUGGCUUUAGAGGGAUUUUUGUGCUAGAAUUAGUUCAUA